Molecule: long non-coding RNA, 913 nt
Organism: Apis cerana (Asiatic honeybee)
Lineage: Eukaryota; Metazoa; Arthropoda; Insecta; Hymenoptera; Apidae
Source: RefSeq, a predicted model, not a curated record
GAGCGAGGAAGAGAAGCACGCGCAUACCGUGUGUAAGAGAAGGACUGACGGAACGGGAAUGCAACGCAUGCGCAGUGCAACGGUCGUGGCACGCGGUCGCGCCCAAACGCAUCUUCUCGCGAUCCUUAUAUUGAUGUACUACGCGCUUGCACUCACGGCGAACCGAUUGCGGGCCUCGCGAAUACCGAGCGAUUCAUACGUGAGAGAUGAGCGAAGCAGCUCGUUAAGAAACCGCUGUCGGCCACGAGAUAUAUAAGCAUCUUCAGUCGGAUCUUUUGAACGCCAUCGUACAGGAAUUUGAUCAACGACAGAUCACCGACACGCGUGACAGAGUUGAAUAUCCUGUUCCAUCACCGACUAUCGGGGUUAAGUUCUAGAAAUCUGCAGAAUGGACGAUUUUGGCGAUCGAUCUAAUCAAAAUGCAACGUCUGCAAGGGAAGUCGGCGAAGAAACAUCGAAGACGAACAGAGACUUAAUAGCCUGGUCGAAACUGUCAAAGUUUCGACGUUUUCACGAUUGACCGGAGAGCUGAAUCGAUUUAUUCCCCUUGGAUAUCAAGCUUCGAUGAAAUUCAUAAUCGAAAUGGAUAGCAAUAGCGACAUAGUGCGAAAAAUAACUUGUUGUUUCGAAAUAUUUUCGAGAAAGUCAAUUGUACUUUCGUUUUACUGUGUUUUCUAGAUGAUAAUCUUGAAUAGAAUAAUCAAAAGUUUUUUUUUUUUAAAAAUCAUCUGCAAAAAUCAUCAGAAAUUAAGGUUUUAAAUAUAUAAUUUUUAUAUAUUCUCUUGUUAUUGAAAUAUUUUUUAUUAUAAAGAAAAUAUGAAAGAAGUAUUAUCAAUAUUAACGCAUUUAUACCGCUGUUAUAAGUAUCAAAGUAACGAUUAAAUAAAAAACAAAUAAAGUUAAAUUUAUUAAA